UUGCCCAGUCUCCCCACUAAUUUAUCCCUCUAAUCACUCCCCCAUCAUCUCUUUCUUCUCUGUUUCCUCGGACGCACCUCCGCCGAGCUCGCCGUCCACCCACACCACUCCCCGUCAUCUUGGAUUGAACGCCAGCCACCAAAGCAUAUCAUAAUCCCCUCGCUCCUCCCUCACCACGCCGCCCAGAUCCGCGAUGGCGCUCCUCCCUAAUCCAUCUUCCUCAUCUCCGGUGCGGCCCCGGGGCGACAUUACAGGUGCUCCAUCCCGACCUUAGGGGGCCGAGCCUCCCAUCUCCAUCUCGAUUGGGGCUUCGGCUGCCGGUGUAGCUAUCCAUCUUCAUCAUCCCCGAAGGAUAACCAGCAGUUUACAUCCCUCUGUUUCCCCCCUCUUCGAAGUGCCUCUCCUCAGAAUGGAAGACAUUUUGCUACACGCAAUUCCAGCUAUGCUUCUCUGCUGUAUAACGCCCAAAAUGUUCGAGUGUUCUAUGAGCUACUCUAAGUUGUCGGUUGUACUAUGCAUGACGGAGAGCUCAUGGCGCACGCUGAUCUUGUCCAUGUCCAGCUUGUCGAGCUGCUGCCACUAUGACGGAUAUGAAAAACUGAAAUGUUUGGUUGUAAUACGAUUCUACUUUUGUUGUAAAAAAUGAAGGAAAUAUGCCCUAGAGGCAAUAAUAAAGUUGUUAUUUAUAUUUCCUUAUAUCAUGAUAAAUGUUUAUUAUUCA
Triticum aestivum (bread wheat) is the source of this 721-nucleotide long non-coding RNA. RefSeq lists it as uncharacterized. The transcript is spliced from 2 exons. NCBI's taxonomy places the organism in Eukaryota, Viridiplantae, Streptophyta, Magnoliopsida, Poales, Poaceae. The record is from RefSeq and is a predicted model, not a curated record.